GGGGCGAGCGGCGGACGGGUUAGUAACGCGUGGGAACAUACCCAAUGGUACGGAAUAGCCUCGGGAAACUGAGAGUAAUACCGUAUGUGCCCUUCGGGGGAAAGAUUUAUCGCCAUUGGAUUGGCCCGCGUUAGAUUAGAUAGUUGGUGGGGUAAUGGCCUACCAAGUCUACGAUCUAUAGCUGGUUUUAGAGGAUGAUCAGCAACACUGGGACUGAGACACGGCCCAGACUCCUACGGGAGGCAGCAGUGGGGAAUCUUAGACAAUGGGCGCAAGCCUGAUCUAGCCAUGCCGCGUGUGUGAUGAAGGCCUUAGGGUCGUAAAGCACUUUCGCCAGAGAUGAUAAUGACAGUAUCUGGUAAAGAAACCCCGGCUAACUCCGUGCCAGCAGCCGCGGUAAUACGGAGGGGGUUAGCGUUGUUCGGAAUUACUGGGCGUAAAGCGUACGUAGGCGGAUCAGAAAGUAUGGGGUGAAAUCCCAGGGCUCAACCCUGGAACUGCCUCAUAAACUCCUGGUCUUGAGUUCGAGAGAGGUGAGUGGAAUCCAAGUGUAGAGGUGAAAUUCGUAGAUAUUUGGAGGAACACCAGUGGCGAAGGCGGCUCACUGGCUCGAUACUGACGCGAGGUACGAAAGUGUGGGGAGCAAACAGGAUUAGAUACCCUGGUAGUCCACACCGUAAACGAUGAAUGCCAGUCGUCGGGAGCAUGCUAUUCGGUGACACACCCUAACGGAUUAAGCUUCCGCCUGGGGAGUACGGUCGCAAGAUAAAACUCAAAUGAAGUUGAGACGGGGGCCGCAAA
RNAcentral lists this ribosomal RNA (801 nucleotides) under uncultured bacterium. RNAcentral describes it as "bacterial SSU rRNA". It matches the Rfam family "Bacterial small subunit ribosomal RNA", at positions 88 to 927 of the family's 1533-position model. The record is from RNAcentral.